UUGACCUCGGAUCAGGUAGGAUUACCCGCUGAACUUAAGCAUAUCAAUAAGCGGAGGAAAAGAAACCAACAGGGAUUGCCCCAGUAACGGCGAGUGAAGCGGCAACAGCUCAAAUUUGAAAUCUGGCCUUCGGGUCCGAGUUGUAAUUUGGAGAGGAUGCUUUUGGCGCGGCGCCGUCCGAGUUCCUUGGAACAGGACGCCAUAGAGGGUGAGAGCCCCGUACGGGCGGCCGCCUAGCCUUUGUAAAGCUCCUUCGACGAGUCGAGUAGUUUGGGAAUGCUGCUCAAAAUGGGAGGUAAAUUUCUUCUAAAGCUAAAUACCGGCCAGAGACCGAUAGCGCACAAGUAGAGUGAUCGAAAGAUGAAAAGCACUUUGAAAAGAGGGUUAAACAGUACGUGAAAUUGUUGAAAGGGAAGCGCCUGUGACCAGACUUGCGACCCGUGGAUCAUCCGGUGUUCUUCACCGGUGCACUCCGCGGGCUGCAGGCCAGCAUCGGUUUUUCUAGGGGGAUAAAGGUCGCAGGAACGUAGCUCUUUCGGGAGUGUUAUAGCCUGUGGCGUCAUGCCUCUGGGGAGACCGAGGACCGCG
RNAcentral lists this ribosomal RNA (588 nucleotides) under Ophiostoma villosum. Its description in RNAcentral is "eukaryotic LSU rRNA". It matches the Rfam family "Eukaryotic large subunit ribosomal RNA", at positions 1 to 597 of the family's 3401-position model. The record is from RNAcentral. Lineage: Eukaryota; Fungi; Ascomycota; Sordariomycetes; Ophiostomatales; Ophiostomataceae.